GGAGGUGUAGGUCAGUGGUAGACCGCAUGCUUGGCCUGCACGAGGUCCUGGGUUCAAUCCUCAGUGCUUCGG
Molecule: transfer RNA, 72 nt
Filed under: Camelus bactrianus (Bactrian camel)
Lineage: Eukaryota; Metazoa; Chordata; Mammalia; Artiodactyla; Camelidae
Also listed under: 2 other names
Rfam family: tRNA
About the family: Transfer RNA (tRNA) molecules are approximately 80 nucleotides in length. Their secondary structure includes four short double-helical elements and three loops (D, anti-codon, and T loops). Further hydrogen bonds mediate the characteristic L-shaped molecular structure. tRNAs have two regions of fundamental functional importance: the anti-codon, which is responsible for specific mRNA codon recognition, and the 3' end, to which the tRNAs corresponding amino acid is attached (by aminoacyl-tRNA synthetases). tRNAs cope with the degeneracy of the genetic code in two manners: having more than one tRNA (with a specific anti-codon) for a particular amino acid; and 'wobble' base-pairing, i.e. permitting non-standard base-pairing at the 3rd anti-codon position.
Source: Rfam by way of RNAcentral